GACGUGACGCCAGUUGCGUUGGAGCCGUCCUUGAAAUACCACCCUUGUAUGUUUGAUGUUCUAACUUAGACCCAUUAUCUGGGUUGAGGACAGUGCCUGGUGGGUAGUUUGACUGGGGCGGUCUCCUCCCAAAGAGUAACGGAGGAGCACGAAGGUGGGCUAAUCACGGUUGGACAUCGUGAGGUUAGUGCAAUGGCAUAAGCCCGCUUAACUGCGAGAAUGACGGUUCGAGCAGGUGCGAAAGCAGGUCAUAGUGAUCCGGUGGUUCUGUAUGGAAGGGCCAUCGCUCAACGGAUAAAAGGUACUCCGGGGAUAACAGGCUGAUACCGCCCAAGAGUUCAUAUCGACGGCGGUGUUUGGCACCUCGAUGUCGGCUCAUCACAUCCUGGGGCUGAAGUCGGUCCCAAGGGUAUGGCUGUUCGCCAUUUAAAGUGGUACGCGAGCUGGGUUUAGAACGUCGUG
RNAcentral lists this ribosomal RNA (462 nucleotides) under Vibrio cholerae. Its description in RNAcentral is "partial 23S ribosomal RNA". It matches the Rfam family "Bacterial large subunit ribosomal RNA", at positions 2162 to 2623 of the family's 2925-position model. Lineage: Bacteria; Pseudomonadati; Pseudomonadota; Gammaproteobacteria; Vibrionales; Vibrionaceae. The record is from RNAcentral.